Molecule: ribosomal RNA, 505 nt
Filed under: uncultured bacterium
Lineage: Bacteria
Description: bacterial SSU rRNA
Rfam family: Bacterial small subunit ribosomal RNA
Source: RNAcentral
UAGUCCACGCCGUAAACGAUGUCAACUAGCCGUUGGGACACUUGAUGUCUUAGUGGCGCAGCUAACGCGAUAAGUUGACCGCCUGGGGAGUACGGUCGCAAGGCUAAAACUCAAAGGAAUCGACGGGGGACCCGCACAAGCGGUGGAGUAUGUGGUUUAAUUCGAUGCAACGCGAAAAACCUUACCAGGGUUUGAAAUAAUUUCAAAACUUCUUGAAAGAGAAGCCUCCUUCGGGAUGGAAUUACAGGUGGUGCAUGGCUGUCGUCAGCUCGUGUUGUGAAAUGUCAAGUUAAGUCUUGUAACGAGCGCAACCCAUGUCUCUUGUUGCUGUUUACAGUGCUUAAGAGAAACUGCCGAUCAACAUCGGAGGAAGGUGUGGAUGAUGUCAAGUCAGCAUGCCCCUUACAUCCUGGGCUACACACGUACUACAAUGGUCGAGACAAAGGGUCGCUAACCUGCGAAGGUAUGCCAAUCUCAUAAACUCGAUCUCAGUUCGGAUUGUACU